GCUGUGGAGUCUUUUACAAUCCUAUCUCUCUGUAACUUUUAAAAAUCAUUUUUUUGACAUAGCUAUGGCAGGGUUGGAUGUGGUCUGGUUGCCAUGUUUUGGUCUGUGUAUCCUAAACCACUGUUGGUAUCUCUUCAUUUUAGGCUGAAAAUGGAAUUGAUGAACUGGAAGGAAACAGUUGCUUUGGAGAAAGGCCACGUUCCAGAUAUGGGGCUCAGUGAGCUGAUUGUGGAGAGGCUGAGGAUGAAGACUGACUCCCCACCCCCAUGAAAUGAUCGGGGCUGAAGUGGAAAAAUUAAGUACUGUAACUGAAUCUUGAAAAUGGUCUGUAAUGAAACAUCCUUGAUCUGAUCCCCAAGGACAGUAGGGUUAUAAAGGAUGGAAAAGAGGAAGUGUCAGCAUUGCAGAUGGGAAACUGAGGUGCAGAGAGCUGAAGACUGAAAUUUUCAAAGGAGCCCAGUGGAGCUAGGUGAAGUUGGGAAGCCAGGGAGUCCAUGUUGCAACGUGAGGAAGUUGGGGGCAAGAACUCUGAAGACAAGAUUGGCUGGUUUUGCUUCUCCCUCCUCACCCUGGAUCCCUUAUAGGAAUCACAGAUGGAUGAUUUGAGAUGAGCCUUAAAGGAAAGGAAAAUGUAUCUUUCUCUCCACCAGCAUCAACUGUAAGAGAGAAUUUGGGGCCUGAAGAUUAAAAGAUUUGCCCCAUCUCCGAUCUGCCUCACAAAGACUCUUUGAAGUUAUGUCCAGGAAAGACUAUACUAAAAACAGGAUAAAUAAUAAAACUAGAUUGAAUGGGUGUGUAAAAGUUGGGUGUUAUUUGUACAAAAGGGCAGUGGUAGAACUGGGGGAAAUGGAGCUUUCUCAACUCUAAUCCACUGGUCUGAAUUCAGCCCAGGUCAAUAGUGGCUGUAGUUGGGAUUUUCAUAGGAGAUUUAAGGGAGCUGGAUGACAUGCUGCUUUAGGCUCCUUUGAAAAUCCCAUCUUUAAUGCAUUGCAAUUUUCAGUUGCCCUUUCUUGAAAUAAGCUAGGGCUUGAUCUCAUAUCUGAGAAAAAUAUCUGAACAGAUAUUGUAAAACUCCUCGUCACUAGUAUCGGUGCACUUGUACCAAAUUGAGGAUCAGGAUGUUAACCAACAUUGAUCUAUUUACUGCUGUGUCCAUAACUACUUUCCAUUCUUCCAUGAAUUGACUCCACUAUGUCCACUAUCUGUUUUCUACUACCAACACCAUUUAGGUUAGGCUGAGAUUUUCAGAUGCACUCAGGAUUUGGACACCCGGUUCCCAUUUAAAAAAUAAUGGGGAAUUUAACAGGCAACUCCCAUAGAUUUGAAAAUCUUAACCUAAAUGCAUUUAAACCAUGUCUCC
Molecule: long non-coding RNA, 1360 nt
Organism: Gopherus evgoodei (Goodes thornscrub tortoise)
Lineage: Eukaryota; Metazoa; Chordata; Testudines; Testudinidae
Exons: 6
Source: RefSeq, a predicted model, not a curated record